AACGAACGCUGGCGGCAUGCCUAACACAUGCAAGUCGAACGAGACCUUCGGGUCUAGUGGCGCACGGGUGCGUAACGCGUGGGAACCUGCCUUUAGGUUCGGAAUAACUCAGAGAAAUUUGAGCUAAUACCGGAUGAUGUCUUCGGACCAAAGAUUUAUCGCCUUUAGAUGGGCCCGCGUUGGAUUAGCUAGUUGGUGGGGUAAAGGCCUACCAAGGCGACGAUCCAUAGCUGGUCUGAGAGGAUGAUCAGCCACACUGGGAUUGAGACACGGCCCAGACUCCUACGGGAGGCAGCAGUGGGGAAUAUUGGACAAUGGGCGAAAGCCUGAUCCAGCAAUGCCGCGUGAGUGAUGAAGGCCUUAGGGUUGUAAAGCUCUUUUACCCGAGAUGAUAAUGACAGUAUCGGGAGAAUAAGCUCCGGCUAACUCCGUG
RNAcentral lists this ribosomal RNA (433 nucleotides) under uncultured bacterium. RNAcentral's name for it is "partial 16S ribosomal RNA". It matches the Rfam family "Bacterial small subunit ribosomal RNA", at positions 29 to 507 of the family's 1533-position model. The record is from RNAcentral.